GGGUGUGUAGCUCAGUGGUAGUCUACCACUGGUAGAGCGGCUGACUGCAGAUCAGCAGGUCCUUAGCUUCCGAUGUAACCUCCAAUCCGGCCGAACCCU
RNAcentral lists this transfer RNA (99 nucleotides) under Perkinsus olseni. RNAcentral describes it as "tRNA-Cys". Lineage: Eukaryota; Perkinsozoa; Perkinsida; Perkinsidae. The record is from RNAcentral.